Molecule: ribosomal RNA, 530 nt
Filed under: uncultured bacterium
Lineage: Bacteria
Description: partial 16S ribosomal RNA
Rfam family: Bacterial small subunit ribosomal RNA
Source: RNAcentral
UGGGGAAUUUUGGACAAUGGGCGAAAGCCUGAUCCAGCAAUGCCGCGUGUGUGAAGAAGGCCUUCGGGUUGUAAAGCACUUUUGUCCGGAAAGAAAUCCUUGGCUCUAAUACAGUCGGGGGAUGACGGUACCGGAAGAAUAAGCACCGGCUAGCUACGUGCCAGCAGCCGCGGUAAUACGUAGGGUGCAAGCGUUAAUCGGAAUUACUGGGCGUAAAGCGUGCGCAGGCGGUUUGCUAAGACCGAUGUGAAAUCCCCGGGCUCAACCUGGGAACUGCAUUGGUGACUGGCAGGCUAGAGUAUGGCAGAGGGGGGUAGAAUUCCACGUGUAGCAGUGAAAUGCGUAGAGAUGUGGAGGAAUACCGAUGGCGAAGGCAGCCCCCUGGGCCAAAUACUGACGCUCAUGCACGAAAAGCGUGGGGAGCAAAACAGGAUUAGAUACCCUGGUAGUCCACGCCCUAAAACGAUGUCAACUAGUUGUUGGGGAUUCAUUUCCUUAGUAACGUAGCUAACGCGUGAAGUUGACCGCCU